GAUGAACGCUAGCGGCAGGCCUAAUACAUGCAAGUCGGACGGGAUCCAUUGAUAGCUUGCUAUCAAUGGUGAGAGUGGCGCACGGGUGCGUAACGCGUGAGCAACCUGCCUCCAUCAGGGGGAUAGCCUCUCGAAAGAGAGAUUAACACCGCAUAAUAUCAACAGUUCGCAUGUUCAGGUGAUUAAAUAUUUAUAGGAUGGAGAUGGGCUCGCGUGACAUUAGCUAGUUGGUAGGGUAACGGCUUACCAAGGCGACGAUGUCUAGGGGCUCUGAGAGGAGAAUCCCCCACACUGGUACUGAGACACGGACCAGACUCCUACGGGAGGCAGCAGUAAGGAAUAUAGGUCAAUGGGCGGAAGCCUGAACCAGCCAUGCCGCGUGCAGGAUGACUGCCCUAUGGGUUGUAAACUGCUUUUGUCCAGGAAUAAACCUAAAUACGAGUAUUUAGCUGAAUGUACUGGAAGAAUAAGGAUCGGCUAACUCCGUG
RNAcentral lists this ribosomal RNA (488 nucleotides) under uncultured bacterium. RNAcentral's name for it is "partial 16S ribosomal RNA". It matches the Rfam family "Bacterial small subunit ribosomal RNA", at positions 28 to 507 of the family's 1533-position model. The record is from RNAcentral.